CUGCCGAGAAGUUCAUUAAACCCUCCCACCUAGAGGAAGGAGAAGUCGUAACAAGGUUUCCGUAGGUGAACCUGCGGAAGGAUCAUUGA
Molecule: ribosomal RNA, 89 nt
Filed under: Tetradesmus reginae
Lineage: Eukaryota; Viridiplantae; Chlorophyta; Chlorophyceae; Sphaeropleales; Scenedesmaceae
Description: partial 18S ribosomal RNA
Rfam family: Eukaryotic small subunit ribosomal RNA
Source: RNAcentral